Molecule: ribosomal RNA, 245 nt
Filed under: uncultured Eubacteriales bacterium
Lineage: Bacteria; Bacillati; Bacillota; Clostridia; Eubacteriales
Description: uncultured Clostridiales bacterium partial 16S ribosomal RNA
Rfam family: Bacterial small subunit ribosomal RNA
Source: RNAcentral
UACGUAGGUGGCGAGCGUUGUCCGGAAUCACUGGGCGUAAAGGGCGCGUAGGCGGUCUAUUAAGUCAGUUGUGAAAUAUCCGGGCUCAACCUGGAGGGUGCGACUGAUACUGGAAGACUUGAGUGCAGGAGAGGGCAGUGGAAUUCCUAGUGUAGCGGUGAAAUGCGUAGAUAUUAGGAGGAACACCAGUGGCGAAGGCGGCUGUCUGGACUGUAACUGACGCUGAGGCGCGAAAGCGUGGGGAG